CUGUAGCGCAAUGGAUAGUGCGUUGAACCUUCUAAUCUAAAGGCCGUGGGUCCAAAUCCCACCUGAAAGG
Trichonephila clavata is the source of this 70-nucleotide non-coding RNA. NCBI's taxonomy places the organism in Eukaryota, Metazoa, Arthropoda, Arachnida, Araneae, Nephilidae. The record is from the annotation of a GenBank genome assembly.